UUCCUUUCAAUGAAGGUUGCACUGCUGUUUUCUUUUACAAAAUUCAGCUUGUGAACCUCCUCCAUUAACUGAUGCUGCACUUCACAGAUGCUUGAGGAAGACAGCUGCAAACAUAAAGCCCUUUCCUGCCUCUAAAGUCAGCUCUUGGUGGAAAGGGAUACUCCAGAAGGGCCUCACUGCAACAUGUUUCUUAUGCAGAAUUUUGUCCAAACACAGUUGCCUAAACAUGCCUCUGGUUCAGAAGUGAAGGGGCUACCAUGGAUUUCUGCCCUAAAGUUUUCCCUAAAACACAAGAGAGGAAAAUAUCCAUUACUGACAAAUGCAGAAAGGGGGGAAAAAAAAAAAUGAACGUGAGCCUAUUGCUGAGAUCUCCAUUGAUAACACACACACAGAAGGACGUGUAAACAUCUGCUCACCAUGCAAAGUAAAUUUAGGAUUUCAUGUUGUAUUCAAGGAUCCAGACCUGCUGGAUGUCCAAAACCACAGCCCUGAUAAACUCUCCCUUAAAGCUUUUCAAAAAUGUCAGGUAUCCAAGGCUGGGUGAGUAUUCUGGCAAGGUGUUGCCAGACAUUUGUUCUUUUCUGAUGUUCCUACAGCCAUUGUCAGAGGGAAGCUCCUCAGAAAGAUGGAUUUCUCAUAUAUUUAGGGCUACCAAAAGUGUCCUUACCUUAGAAAUAGCUUUACCUAUCAGCCUGGUGUGUACUGAGCAGGCCUACAGAUGCAUAAUGCACAGCAAUUGAAGAGUGCCUGGAUUUUCAGAUUUGACACUGCACUGUUGACAAGCACUGCUGAGGAGCACAGAGCUCUCCAAGCACAUUUAUUAGACAAUAAGGUGGCAGUAAAGGGCUCUGAAUGAAUUGGCAUCCAAAUUAAGUAGCUUCAUAAACCACAAGUGUUGAAAGACAUUGCAAAACCAGUGCAGUUAGUAAUUAGAGAACCAGACAGGCUUAGAGAAAUUAAAACUGAGAGUGUUUUAUCACAUAUGUCCUGGAGAAGUCUAUGCAUUCUACAGAUAUUGCUUAGUGUUCUCAAAAUUUCCACAUGUACAGUUUUAAGCGUACUUAAGAUAAAUAAAAGAUAUUUAAAAGAUUAUUUUACACAUGGAA
Lagopus muta (rock ptarmigan) is the source of this 1106-nucleotide long non-coding RNA. RefSeq lists it as uncharacterized. The transcript has 4 exons. NCBI's taxonomy places the organism in Eukaryota, Metazoa, Chordata, Aves, Galliformes, Phasianidae. The record is from RefSeq and is a predicted model, not a curated record.